Molecule: ribosomal RNA, 261 nt
Filed under: uncultured archaeon
Lineage: Archaea
Description: partial 16S ribosomal RNA
Rfam family: Archaeal small subunit ribosomal RNA
Source: RNAcentral
CAGCCGUAAACUAUGCUCGCUAGGUGUCAGGCAUGGCGCGACCGUGUCUGGUGCCGCAGGGAAGCCGUGAAGCGAGCCACCUGGGAAGUACGGCCGCAAGGCUGAAACUUAAAGGAAUUGGCGGGGGAGCACAACAACGGGUGGAGCCUGCGGUUUAAUUGGACUCAACGCCGGACAACUCACCGGGGACGACAGCAAUAUGUAGGCCAGGCUGAAGACCUUGCCUGAAUCGCUGAGAGGAGGUGCAUGGCGUGUGACUGU